RNAcentral lists this ribosomal RNA (2904 nucleotides) under Escherichia coli. RNAcentral describes it as "23S ribosomal RNA". It matches the Rfam family "Bacterial large subunit ribosomal RNA". The record is from RNAcentral. Lineage: Bacteria; Pseudomonadati; Pseudomonadota; Gammaproteobacteria; Enterobacterales; Enterobacteriaceae.
GGUUAAGCGACUAAGCGUACACGGUGGAUGCCCUGGCAGUCAGAGGCGAUGAAGGACGUGCUAAUCUGCGAUAAGCGUCGGUAAGGUGAUAUGAACCGUUAUAACCGGCGAUUUCCGAAUGGGGAAACCCAGUGUGAUUCGUCACACUAUCAUUAACUGAAUCCAUAGGUUAAUGAGGCGAACCGGGGGAACUGAAACAUCUAAGUACCCCGAGGAAAAGAAAUCAACCGAGAUUCCCCCAGUAGCGGCGAGCGAACGGGGAGCAGCCCAGAGCCUGAAUCAGUGUGUGUGUUAGUGGAAGCGUCUGGAAAGGCGCGCGAUACAGGGUGACAGCCCCGUACACAAAAAUGCACAUGCUGUGAGCUCGAUGAGUAGGGCGGGACACGUGGUAUCCUGUCUGAAUAUGGGGGGACCAUCCUCCAAGGCUAAAUACUCCUGACUGACCGAUAGUGAACCAGUACCGUGAGGGAAAGGCGAAAAGAACCCCGGCGAGGGGAGUGAAAAAGAACCUGAAACCGUGUACGUACAAGCAGUGGGAGCACGCUUAGGCGUGUGACUGCGUACCUUUUGUAUAAUGGGUCAGCGACUUAUAUUCUGUAGCAAGGUUAACCGAAUAGGGGAGCCGAAGGGAAACCGAGUCUUAACUGGGCGUUAAGUUGCAGGGUAUAGACCCGAAACCCGGUGAUCUAGCCAUGGGCAGGUUGAAGGUUGGGUAACACUAACUGGAGGACCGAACCGACUAAUGUUGAAAAAUUAGCGGAUGACUUGUGGCUGGGGGUGAAAGGCCAAUCAAACCGGGAGAUAGCUGGUUCUCCCCGAAAGCUAUUUAGGUAGCGCCUCGUGAAUUCAUCUCCGGGGGUAGAGCACUGUUUCGGCAAGGGGGUCAUCCCGACUUACCAACCCGAUGCAAACUGCGAAUACCGGAGAAUGUUAUCACGGGAGACACACGGCGGGUGCUAACGUCCGUCGUGAAGAGGGAAACAACCCAGACCGCCAGCUAAGGUCCCAAAGUCAUGGUUAAGUGGGAAACGAUGUGGGAAGGCCCAGACAGCCAGGAUGUUGGCUUAGAAGCAGCCAUCAUUUAAAGAAAGCGUAAUAGCUCACUGGUCGAGUCGGCCUGCGCGGAAGAUGUAACGGGGCUAAACCAUGCACCGAAGCUGCGGCAGCGACGCUUAUGCGUUGUUGGGUAGGGGAGCGUUCUGUAAGCCUGCGAAGGUGUGCUGUGAGGCAUGCUGGAGGUAUCAGAAGUGCGAAUGCUGACAUAAGUAACGAUAAAGCGGGUGAAAAGCCCGCUCGCCGGAAGACCAAGGGUUCCUGUCCAACGUUAAUCGGGGCAGGGUGAGUCGACCCCUAAGGCGAGGCCGAAAGGCGUAGUCGAUGGGAAACAGGUUAAUAUUCCUGUACUUGGUGUUACUGCGAAGGGGGGACGGAGAAGGCUAUGUUGGCCGGGCGACGGUUGUCCCGGUUUAAGCGUGUAGGCUGGUUUUCCAGGCAAAUCCGGAAAAUCAAGGCUGAGGCGUGAUGACGAGGCACUACGGUGCUGAAGCAACAAAUGCCCUGCUUCCAGGAAAAGCCUCUAAGCAUCAGGUAACAUCAAAUCGUACCCCAAACCGACACAGGUGGUCAGGUAGAGAAUACCAAGGCGCUUGAGAGAACUCGGGUGAAGGAACUAGGCAAAAUGGUGCCGUAACUUCGGGAGAAGGCACGCUGAUAUGUAGGUGAAGUCCCUCGCGGAUGGAGCUGAAAUCAGUCGAAGAUACCAGCUGGCUGCAACUGUUUAUUAAAAACACAGCACUGUGCAAACACGAAAGUGGACGUAUACGGUGUGACGCCUGCCCGGUGCCGGAAGGUUAAUUGAUGGGGUCAGCGCAAGCGAAGCUCUUGAUCGAAGCCCCGGUAAACGGCGGCCGUAACUAUAACGGUCCUAAGGUAGCGAAAUUCCUUGUCGGGUAAGUUCCGACCUGCACGAAUGGCGUAAUGAUGGCCAGGCUGUCUCCACCCGAGACUCAGUGAAAUUGAACUCGCUGUGAAGAUGCAGUGUACCCGCGGCAAGACGGAAAGACCCCGUGAACCUUUACUAUAGCUUGACACUGAACAUUGAGCCUUGAUGUGUAGGAUAGGUGGGAGGCUUUGAAGUGUGGACGCCAGUCUGCAUGGAGCCGACCUUGAAAUACCACCCUUUAAUGUUUGAUGUUCUAACGUUGACCCGUAAUCCGGGUUGCGGACAGUGUCUGGUGGGUAGUUUGACUGGGGCGGUCUCCUCCUAAAGAGUAACGGAGGAGCACGAAGGUUGGCUAAUCCUGGUCGGACAUCAGGAGGUUAGUGCAAUGGCAUAAGCCAGCUUGACUGCGAGCGUGACGGCGCGAGCAGGUGCGAAAGCAGGUCAUAGUGAUCCGGUGGUUCUGAAUGGAAGGGCCAUCGCUCAACGGAUAAAAGGUACUCCGGGGAUAACAGGCUGAUACCGCCCAAGAGUUCAUAUCGACGGCGGUGUUUGGCACCUCGAUGUCGGCUCAUCACAUCCUGGGGCUGAAGUAGGUCCCAAGGGUAUGGCUGUUCGCCAUUUAAAGUGGUACGCGAGCUGGGUUUAGAACGUCGUGAGACAGUUCGGUCCCUAUCUGCCGUGGGCGCUGGAGAAUUGAGGGGGGCUGCUCCUAGUACGAGAGGACCGGAGUGGACGCAUCACUGGUGUUCGGGUUGUCAUGCCAAUGGCACUGCCCGGUAGCUAAAUGCGGAAGAGAUAAGUGCUGAAAGCAUCUAAGCACGAAACUUGCCCCGAGAUGAGUUCUCCCUGACUCCUUGAGAGUCCUGAAGGAACGUUGAAGACGACGACGUUGAUAGGCCGGGUGUGUAAGCGCAGCGAUGCGUUGAGCUAACCGGUACUAAUGAACCGUGAGGCUUAACCUU